This 447-nucleotide ribosomal RNA is filed under the name uncultured bacterium. RNAcentral describes it as "partial 16S ribosomal RNA". It matches the Rfam family "Bacterial small subunit ribosomal RNA", at positions 29 to 523 of the family's 1533-position model. The record is from RNAcentral.
AGCGAACGCUGGCGGCAGGCCUAACACAUGCAAGUCGAGCGCCCCGCAAGGGGAGCGGCAGACGGGAGAGUAACACGUGGGAACGUACCCUUUGGUUCGGAACAACCCAGGGAAACUUGGGCUAAUACCGGAUAAGCCCUUACGGGGAAAGAUUUAUCGCCGAAGGAUCGGCCCGCGUCUGAUUAGCUAGUUGGUGGGGUAACGGCCCACCAAGGCGACGAUCAGUAGCUGGUCUGAGAGGAUGAUCAGCCUCACUGGGACUGAGACACGGCCCAGACUCCUACGGGAGGCAGCAGUGGGGAAUAUUGGACAAUGGGCGCAAGCCUGAUCCAGCCAUGCCGCGUGGGUGAUGAAGGCCCUAGGGUUGUAAAGCCCUUUCGGCGGGGAAGAUAAUGACGGUACCCGCAGAAGAAGCCCCGGCUAACUUCGUGCCAGCAGCCGCCAUAA